AAGACCGAUCUGGUGCUGUUACAGGAGACAGAAUUAGCACACUGGAAGUUGAGAAAUGAGGAGGUGAUGACAAAGCAGUGUUUUGCAGCUUCUCAGAGAGAUUCAGGAGUCUAGAUAACAUAUUGGCAAACCAGAGAUAUCUGCAGGAGUUCAAAUAAGCCCAUCUGGAAGCCAGCUCUGCAGACUAUUUCCAGAGCAGCAAGCAAUACUGGUAAAGACCAAGCAAUACUGGUAAAGACUGAUUAAUUAUUUUUUUUCUUUAAUCCUGUCAUAGUCCUAUUCCACAG
This 287-nucleotide long non-coding RNA is filed under the name Ficedula albicollis (Collared flycatcher). RNAcentral's name for it is "lncRNA (ENSFALG00000024825.1)". Lineage: Eukaryota; Metazoa; Chordata; Aves; Passeriformes; Muscicapidae. The record is from RNAcentral.